Long non-coding RNA from Mauremys reevesii (Reeves's turtle), 3117 nucleotides. RefSeq lists it as uncharacterized. The record is from RefSeq and is a predicted model, not a curated record. The transcript is spliced from 4 exons. NCBI's taxonomy places the organism in Eukaryota, Metazoa, Chordata, Testudines, Geoemydidae.
GAGGGAGUGGAAGAGGCCUCUCUUACAACCUUUGCCCUGUGGUUAGAGGGCUCACCUUGCAUGUAUAAGACCCCAGUUCAACUCCCUACUCUGCUUGAUGGAAAGAAGGGAUUUUAACAGAGGUUUCCCUGUUCAGUAAAGGAAGAGGGAGAAAUGGAGAAAAAAGCAAGAUGACUGUUGCCCAGUAUUAUUGGCUGAGACCAUACAACACACUAAGACCCAGAUCCUCAAAGCUACCAGCUGCAGCAAGACGGCCUCACUAGUGGUAACUAUUAUUCCAGUGCGAGCAAGACGCUAAAAGAGAAAAGAACAGAGACAGAAAAAGAGCUUUCUUCAUGAUGACAAAAAUAUCUCAGCAUACAGGAUUGAAUUCUAAAUGGCGCUACAUGUAUCUGUACAUAUCCGAGAAGUAACAGCAAAAGAGGAGACCGUGGGAUAAAAGUUGUCUUCCUCAGCUCUGGCUACACUCAGGUUUCAUGCAGGAUUCUCCUUGGUCAGAAUCUAAACAUUAAAGGGCAGUCACCCUAUAUACCCCAUCAUGAGGAAGGAGUAAUCUGCCCAGAGUGGAGGAAUGCAAACACGGCUGAAGGCAGCAGAAAAAAAAAAAGGUUGAAGAACUAUUCCUGUUUCGUGCCAGAAUGUGUCUCAUUAUACAGAGUACAAUCAUUCUGAUGUGUAUAUGGGUCUAAUUUGAACAUUUUAAAUGCACUGUACACCAAUAAUUUAGAAUCAAAUUGUAUUAAAAUGUCUACAUAAUAGCUUGUAGUUCUAUAGUACCCUCUACUAGAGGAUCUCAAAGACUUGCAGGCAUAUCUGAAGCAACACAUAUUAAUGAAUUAAAUCUACCACCUCCCCUAUGGGAUAGUGAAAGAGGGAAAAAAUUGAAGGCUUUAAAUAUUUCUUCCUAUGGUGUAUUUAGCCUAAAUCAGGGGUUAUCAAAUGUUCUGAAAUCAUGGAACACAUCUUAAGACAAUCAGUCCCAUGGUUAUACAACAUUCCUGUACAUGCCUUCCUGUUUUCUGUUCCCCAUUUCCCCAGCCAUGGUCCCUGAGGGCAGUAUUCAAUUCCUCUCCCCUAUAAUAUUAAGCAGCAGCUGUAAUAUAGGCUCUUCAUUGCAAAAAGGAGACUAAAAGCUUGUAGAGGUGGACUGAAAAGAAGAGGAGCCAGUAACAUAUAACCUGUCAGCUCUCCACAAAGAACCAGCAAGUGCUUUCUGAACUACAUUUUGAGAACUACUGACAUUUACCCCAAACUCAAAAAAAAAAAAAUCUAGAACCAAUUAAUUUGUUUGAAGUGCCCUUCUAGGAAUUUUGAGUGAGUGCAGCUAUCUACUUUUUUACAAUGAUAAUGGAUCGAUUUUGACUGGACAAAAUCCAAGACUUAUCCAGGGCAAUUCAAAAAUCUAUUACAAUACACAGAACUGUGAUUUGUGUGUGUGUACGCAUGUGCACGUGAAAGAUAUGUGCUGUUUGUUCUAAGCAAAUGUACAGAAACAGCAAAACCACCAAAAUUUUGGUUCUUUUCUUGCUAUAUAUAUAUAUAUUAAGCAAUAGUAAUACUGUACUGAAUUAGUUUUCAGAUGAGUCUGAGACUUAUUUUUCUGACAGUAGUCCUUGUGUGUCAUAUGCAUUAUGUGGCAGAUUUCAUUAAGCUCGCACUUAAUCAAAGUUACUGCAUUUUUAUCAAAUGUUCAAUCCAGUUGACUUUCCUUAAGCUCUAAAGUUUUACUCAACAUAGAAGGUGUGCAACUCCUUUUUUGAUUCUAUGUGACUGGCACAAAGUUGUGGAAUUACUGUUCAUUUUAAGAGUUUAAUUUUCAACUAUUUUGCUAAAAUCCAGAGCAAAAAUUCCCAUGUUUAGUGCAGAUACAGUUCUCUUUUCCAUCUUCGAUUUUUAACACACCAAUGAAGUUUGCAAGAUAGUUAGUGCAUUGUUUUCCAUAAAACCACCAUGACGUUGUGUAUGAAAAGCAGGUGCACUUUUAAAAUUUUCUAGCUUUAUGUAUUGUCACUUCUGCAACAUUUGUAACAUAUUCAGUUGGACUACCAGAAUUCUUCUAAUUGUGAUAAUGAAACUUUUUAAAAACCUGGAACUUAAAGCUUUUUAGCUCCUUAGAGGCAAGUAGGAGUUUUAAUGAAUUUGCUGCCUUUUUGGGGGGAGGGUGCGGGGGGGGAGCACAUUACAAGGCACUUCAGAACUGGGGCCCCUUUAUACUUUGAAUUGUUUAACAACAGUAGCAUGCCGAGCAAAAUACCAUUCUGAACUAUAAAAAGUUUUAUAGUAUUUUUAUACAGUUUCAUAGAGAAUUCAGUUUUAUGAGGUCACCCAAGGGGCCACGAAAAGUCAGUAGUUUGUAGAAGUCCAACAUUUCAUGAGACGCUCCCAAAUUCUCGCCUGAUGUCCCCAACUCUGUGCUCUCCAUGUAGACACGUCACCAAAAUAUUUACGUUUAAAAAAAAAUCCUGGCCCUCCUGUUGCUUGGUGACCUAUUCUGUGGAUGACUACCUGACUAACACCUCUCACUGAGUUAUUCACUUGCUGUAAUGUUUGUGACUUUCUCAAUGGUUUGUAUCAAUAAGAGAACCAAAUACAGACCCAAGGUGUAGAAGAAAGUCUAUCUAAAUUAUGCAGGUUACCUCAAGAGCAAACAUCCUGUCCAUCAUACUUCUUGAUGAGGUGGCAUCUGCUACAAUGUGAACUUCCACACCUCUGCCAACCAAUUCCAGCGCUGUUUGCUGGAUGCACACGUGAGUCUGUCAGAAAAAUACCAGCAUUAUAAAAGUAUUUACAGGAUUACCUAGAACUACAGUACAAGAUUAAAUUAGGGAUCAAUCCUAUAAUUUUCCUAAACAUUAAAUUACUAAUUAAUUCAAUAGGAGUUUUGAAUGCAAACUGCAUAAUUGCAGGAUCUGGCCUUGUAAACUUAAUUUUAUAAGUAUCUAAGUAUUUUAUGAGAUUAUCCUCUCUGAACAACUGAAAUGAUCACAAACAAUUUAACCUUUAAGUGGUAUCUGGACUAUAACACUGCUUUGCAUAGACAUCAAUAUAUAAAAACACAUUUUCAACCAUACUACAGUAAUAAUACACUACUAUAACAAACAAGUACAUACUUCUACU